Molecule: long non-coding RNA, 4780 nt
Filed under: Sus scrofa (pig)
Lineage: Eukaryota; Metazoa; Chordata; Mammalia; Artiodactyla; Suidae
Description: lncRNA (ENSSSCG00005023896.1)
Source: RNAcentral
AUGAACCAAGGCUGUCUCCCAGGGCUCUUGUCCUUAAAAGGCUGGAAGAUCUCAGGACUGGUACUUCCGCAAGACUACAGAAGUUGUACCAAAUGGGAGGAAAAUCUGCAGGUUGGCUACGCAAGAAGACUUCCAUCAGUAGUCAAGAAAUUUGUAUGGCGUCUCUUCCAGGACUGGAGACUUCUUGCUCUACAGGUGAGACCUUUUCCAUCCUUUCUGCUUCUCUGCCCCCAGAUCUUUGUGUGCAUGAGUAGAGAUCAGCUCCUUUCCCAUUCCCCUAAAUCAUAAUCCAUUUUCUGUCCCAGGAGCCAGGGUUGUUGUGUUGAUUGUGUGAGUUGUACCCUAUACAAAAGGGCUCACUUAAGUGGCAGCAUGCAGAAGGGGUGGAUAGAGGUUGAAAUCUAGCUCAGGCUCCCCUCACCAAAUCCUGUGUUGGGGGAAGGUGCCUUUUCCUAACUCACACAAAGGUACCGUAUGAGCUAGCCACAGCCAUGCCACAUCUGACACUAUAAUAUUCUUUUUUUUUUUUGUCUUUUUUUUUGCUAUUUCUUUGGGCCGCUCCCGCGGCAUAUGGAGGUUCCCAGGCUAGGGGUCAAAUCGGAGCUGUAGCCCAUGGCCUACGCCAGAGCCACAGCAACGUGGGAUCCGAGCUGCAUCUGCAACCUACACCACAGCUCACGGCAAUGCCAGAUCGUUAACCCACUGAGCAAGGGCAGGGACCGAACCCGCAACCUCAUGGUUCCUAGUCAGAUUCAUUAACCACUGCGCCACGACGGGAACUCCUGACACUAUAAUAUUAUUAUUAUUUUUUUUGUCUUUUUUUUUGUUGUUGUUAUUGUUGUUGUUGUUGUUGUUGCUAUUUCUUGGGCCGCUCCCGCGGCAUAUGGAGGUUCCCAGGCUAGGGGUCUAAUUGGAGCUGUAGCCACUGGCCUAUGCCAGAGCCACAGCAACGCGGGAUCCAAGCCGUGUCUGCAACCUACACCACAGCUCACGGCAACGCCGGAUUGCUAACCCACUGAGCAAGGGCAGGGACCGAACCCGCAACCUCAUGGUUCCUAGUCGGAUUCGUUAACCACUGCGCUACAACGGGAACUCCUACUAUAAUAUUCUUAAAGAAAGUCCUCUUAGACUCCAUAGAUGAAGCCAGGCUUCUGAUUCCCUUGGUAAAACAUACUGACCAGUGUCCAUGGCACACUCAUGUCAGCAGCUGGCAGACCCACUAUACUGGAUACUUCACACCCUCCACUUAUGUUAUAUAUAUAUCGAACAUCACUAUUGACUGGUUUCUACCAGUAUUACUUGUUUUAACUAUCUAAAUUAUUUAAAAACUGGAAAAGAAAAAACUAAUGACAAUGUGAAAAAGCAGAGAGUUGUGGUUUUUGUGAAAACUAAGUGCAAUACUUUGCAAAGAUUGGAAAGGGUCGAAUAUUAGAAAUAGCUGUUGAUUUAGUUGUGGGGAGGCAGUUAUAAAAAGUUGAAAAAGGAAAAUGUGAAAUCCACCAUUCUGCAUUUGAGUUACUUUAUAUGGGAUUUGCAAUUCUUGAUUCACUUUAAAGAAACUCAAGCACGAAAUUAUAGAACAUGAAUUAUGGGUAUAGUUCAUGAGAGAAGGAUAUCACUGCAACCUUCAGACCCAUAUUACCAAAAAAAUAAUAAUAACAAUUUUUUUCUAAACUUUGCCCUUAUAUUGAAAAACUUAUAUUUAUGUGGUUUUUUUAAUUGAAGUAUACUUGGUCUACAAUAUUAUAUUAGGUUUGGGUGUAUAACAUAGUGAUUCAGUACUUUUACAUUUUAUGCUAUAUUAAAAGUUAUUACAAGAUAAUGGCUAUAAGUCCCUGUGUUAUACAAUAUAUACUUGUUGCUUAUCUAUUUCAUACAUAGUCAUUUGUUUCUCUUAAUCCAAAUACCCUAAGGCCUCCCUUUCCCUCUUCCUACUCAUAAUCACUAGUUUGUUCUCUGUAUCUGUGAGUCUAUUUCUGUCAUGCUAUAGACUUUGAUUUGUAUUAUUUUUUAGAUUCCAUAUAUAAGUAAUAGCAUUCAGUAUUUGUCUUUAAAUGAUUUCACUAAGCAUAAUAUUCUCUAUCCAUCCACGUUGCAUCAAAUGACAGAAAUUCACACUUGUUUUAUGGCCGAGUAAUAGAUCAUUGCAUGUAUACCAUAUAUUCUUUUUAAAUUUUUUUUCAUUGAUGUAUAGUUGAUAUACACUGUCAUGUUAGUUUCAAGUAUACAAUACAGUGAUUCAGAUAUAUAUAUAUAUAUAUGUAUAUAUAUAUUUUUUUCAGGUUAUUUUCCCUUUUUGGUUACUACAAAACAUUGAGUAUAUUUCUCUGUGCUAUGUAGUAGGUUCUUGUUGGUUAUAUAUUUUAUAUAUAGUAGUGUGUAUAUGUUCAUCCCAAACUCCUAAUUUGUCCCUCUCCUCCCCCUUUUCCUUUUUUGUAACUGUAAGUUUGUUUUCUAUGUCUGUAUACCACAUCUUCUUUAUCCAUUUGUCUGUUAAUGGACACUCAGGUUGCUUCCAUGUCUUGAUUAUUGUAGUUUUCUGGUAUAUUCUGAAGACUGGGAGGGUGAUACUUCCAGCUUUUUUCUUUAGAUUGCUUUGGCAAUUUAGGGUCUUUUGUGAUUUCACAUAAAUUUUAGGAUUGUUUUUUCUGGUUCUUUGAGAAAAGAUGUCAUGGAUAGAGAUUUCAUUAAAACUGUAGAUUGCUUUGGAUGGUAUGGCCAUUUUAACAGUAUUAAUUCUCUCCAAUGCAAGAAAACAGGAUAUCUUUACAUUUCUUUGCAUAGUCCUCAAUCAUCAAUGUGAAUGUGGUUUUUUUUUUUUUUUUUUUUUUUUUUUUCCCCUUUUAAAACAGGGCCUUUUUUUUUUUUUUUUUUUUUUUUUAUUUUCCCCCUUUACAGCAAGGGGGUCAGGUUAUCCUUAGAUGUAUACAUUACAAUUACAGUUUUUCCCCCACCAUUUCUUCUGUUGCAACAUGAGUAUCUAGACAUAGUUCUCAAUGCUAUUCAGCGGGAUCUCCUUGUAAAUCUAUUCUAGGUUGUGUCUGAUAAGCCCAAGCUCCCGAUCCCUCCCACUCCCUCCCCCUCCCAUCAGGCAACCACAAGUCUCUUCUCCAAGUCCAUGAUUUUCUUUUCUGAGGAGAUGUUCAUUUGUGCUGGAUAUUAGAUUCCAGUUAUAAGUGAUAUCAUAUGGUAUUUGUCUUUGUCUUUCUGGCUCAUUUCACUCAGUAUGAGAUUCUCUAGUUCCAUCCAUGUUGCUGCAAAUGGCAUUAUGUCAUCCUUUUUUAUGGCUGGGUAGUAUUCCAUUGUGUAUAUAUACCACCUCUUCCGAAUCCAAUCAUCUGUUGAUGGACAUUUGGGUUGUUUCCAUGUCCUGGCUAUUGUGAAUAGUGCUGCAAUGAACAUGCGGGUGCAUGUGUCUCUUUUAAGUAGAGCUUUGUCCGGAUAGAUGCCCAAGAGUGGGAUUGCAGGGUCAUAUGGAAGUUCUAUGUAUAGAUUUCUAAGGUAUCUCCAAACUGUUCUCCAUAGUGGCUGUACCAGUUUACAUUCCCACCAGCAGUGCAGGAGGGUUCCCUUUUCUCCACAGCCCCUCCAGCACUUGCCAUUUCCAUCAUCAAUGUUUUAUAGUUUUCAGUGUAUAGGUCUUUCACCUCCUUGAUUAAGUUUAUUCCUAAGUAUUUUAUUCUUUUUGAUGCCAUUUUAAACAAGAUUUUAAAGUAUUUUCACUUCUCUGUUAAUUCAUUAUUAGUUUAUAGAAAAGUAGCAGACUUGUGUAUAUUAAUCUUGUACCCUGAUCCUUUUUAUAUAUUGCUGGAUUCAGUUUGUUAACAUUUUGCUGAGGAUUUGUACAAUUAUAGUCAUCAACGAUAUUGGUCUGUAAUUUUGUUGGUUUUUUUUAACAGUGUUUAUGCCUGAUUUUGGUAUCAGAAUAAUGAUGGCCUUGUAGAAUGAAUUUACGAAUGUUCUAUGCUCUUCAAUUUUUUGAAAUAAUUUGAGAAGGAUAGGUACUAGUUCUUCUUUAUAUGUUUGGUAGAAUUCCCCUGUAAAGCUGUCUGGUUCUAGAUUUUUGUUUGCUAGGAGUUUGGUUUUUUUUUUUUCCCAAUUACAAAUUCAAUUUCACUACUAGUGAUCAGUCUCUUCAAAUUGUCUGUUUUUUGUUUGUUUGUUUGUUUGUUUGUUUAGGACCACACCCGCAGGAUAUGGGGUUGAAUCAGAGCUGUAGUCAUUGGCCUAUGCCAUAGCAAUGCCAGAUCCAAGCUGCAUCUGAGACCUAUACCACAGCUCAUGGCAAAGUCAGAUCCUUAACCCACCGAGCAAGGACAGGGAUCAAACCUGCAUCUUCAUGGAUACUAGUCAGAUUUGUUUCCGCUGAGCCACGAUGGGAACUCCUGUCUGUUUUUUCUUCAUUCAGGUGUGGCUGGUUGUAUGUGUCUAGAAAUUUGGCCAUUUCUUCCAGGUUGUCCAAUUUGUUGGCAUAUAACUAUUCAUAGAAUUGUCUUAUAAUUGUUUGUAUCUGUGUGGUAUUGGUUGUUACUUCUCUUUCGUUUCUUAUUUUGUUUAUUUGAUUCCUCUCUUCUCUUCUUGGUGAGCCUGGCUAAAAUUUUAUCAGUGUUGCUUGUCUUUUCAAAAAACUAGCUCUUGGAGUUCCUGUUGUGGCACAGUGGUUAACGAAUCCGACUAGGAACCAUGAGGUUGCAGGUUCGAUCCCUGGCCUUGCUCAGUGGGUUAAAGAUCCGGCAUUGCCAUGACCUGUGCUAUAGCUCGCAGAUGCGGCUCGGAUCCC